UACAGAGGUCCCGAGCGUUGUUCGGAUUCACUGGGCGUAAAGGGUGCGUAGGUGGCUUGGUAAGUUUGAUGUGAAAGCUCAGGGCUCAACCCUGAAAUGGCAUUGAAUACUACUGUGCUGGAGGUUUGGAGGGGGGACUGGAAUUCUUGGUGUAGCAGUGAAAUGCGUAGAUAUCAAGAGGAACACCAGUGGCGAAGGCGAGUCCCUGGACAACACCUGACACUGAGGCACGAAAGCUAGGGGAGCAAACAGG
Molecule: ribosomal RNA, 253 nt
Filed under: uncultured bacterium
Lineage: Bacteria
Description: partial 16S ribosomal RNA
Rfam family: Bacterial small subunit ribosomal RNA
Source: RNAcentral